This is a non-coding RNA of Coffea arabica (coffee), 239 nucleotides long. Lineage: Eukaryota; Viridiplantae; Streptophyta; Magnoliopsida; Gentianales; Rubiaceae. The record is from RefSeq and is a predicted model, not a curated record.
GAACAAGUUAAGGUGAAAGUGAAAGGAGUUACCUCCAUUGCCAAGACUGAUGGCAACUUCAUUUGUGCUACUUUAGAUUGGUGGCCUGAAGACAAAUGUGAUUAUAAUCAAUGCCCGUGGGGAAAGGCUGGAAUCCUCAAUUUGGAUUUGAAGAACAAGAUUCUGGCCAAUGCAAUAAAAGCAUUUAAUCCUCUUCGGAUCAGAAUUGGAGGUUCCUUAGAAGAUCAAGUCGUCUAUAA